AUUGAACGCUGGCGGCAUGCUUUACACAUGCCAGUCGAACGGUAACAGGCCUUCGGGUGCUGACGAGUGGCGCACGGGUGAGUAAUGCAUCGGAACGUGCCCAGAGGUGGGGGAUAACGCAGCGAAAGCUGUGCUAAUACCGCAUGUGAUCUGAGGCUGAAAGCGGGGGACCAGGCAGCAAUGUUUGGCCUCGCGCCUUUGGAGCGGCCGAUGUCAGAUUAGGUAGUUGGUGGGGUAAAGGCCUACCAAGCCGACGAUCUGUAGCUGGUCUGAGAGGACGACCAGCCACACUGGGACUGAGACACGGCCCAGACUCCUACGGGAGGCAGCAGUGGGGAAUUUUGGACAAUGGGCGCAAGCCUGAUCCAGCAAUGCCGCGUGCGGGAAGAAGGCCUUCGGGUUGUAAACCGCUUUUGUACGGAACGAAAAGGCUCUGGCUAAUACCUGGGGCUGAUGACGGUACCGUAAGAAUAAGCACCGGCUAACUACGUG
RNAcentral lists this ribosomal RNA (492 nucleotides) under uncultured bacterium. RNAcentral's name for it is "partial 16S ribosomal RNA". It matches the Rfam family "Bacterial small subunit ribosomal RNA", at positions 30 to 507 of the family's 1533-position model. The record is from RNAcentral.